This 468-nucleotide ribosomal RNA is filed under the name uncultured bacterium. RNAcentral's name for it is "bacterial SSU rRNA". It matches the Rfam family "Bacterial small subunit ribosomal RNA", at positions 329 to 796 of the family's 1533-position model. The record is from RNAcentral.
UGCCAGACUCCUACGGGAGGCAGCAGUGAGGAAUAUUGGUCAAUGGCCGCAGGGCUGAACCAGCCAAGUCGCGUGAGGGAUGACGGUCCUAUGGAUUGUAAACCUCUUUUGUCAGGGAGCAAAGCGAGUCACGUGUGACUCAUUGAGAGUACCCGAAGAAAAAGCAUCGGCUAACUCCGUGCCAGCAGCCGCGGUAAUACGGAGGAUGCGAGCGUUAUCCGGAUUUAUUGGGUUUAAAGGGUGCGCAGGCGGAGGUGCAAGUCAGCGGUCAAAUUGCGGGGCUCAACCCCGUACUGCCGUUGAAACUGCGUUUCUUGAGUGGGCGAGAAGUACGCGGAAUGCGUGGUGUAGCGGUGAAAUGCAUAGAUAUCACGCAGAACUCCGAUUGCGAAGGCAGCGUACCGGCGCCCAACUGACGCUCAUGCACGAAAGCGUGGGUAUCGAACAGGAUUAGAUACCCGCGUAACU